Long non-coding RNA from Columba livia (rock pigeon), 1189 nucleotides. RefSeq lists it as uncharacterized. The transcript has 3 exons. The record is from RefSeq and is a predicted model, not a curated record. Lineage: Eukaryota; Metazoa; Chordata; Aves; Columbiformes; Columbidae.
AGUGCCUCCUUAAGUCUGUGUUUAGGGCUCAGCUCUACUUGCACUUUCAGAGGGCUGAAUCUGGUCUCUGAUGCCAUGGCAUGGAUUUCAUGACCUACCGCAGCGCCAGCUCUGCAUUCCUGCAAGGUGACGUGGAGAGCAUACCAAUGUGUGCAAGGAUGGCCCGUAUACCUGGUUUGUGAUGAUGACAAAUGGCCAAACUGUAACUCUGCCAACUGGAGCCACCUCCCUACCCACCAGAACUCAGCCGCUUCCAAUGAAACAUCAGGAGAGACCAUUUUCCAGCAAGCACUUUGCAACAACAUCAUUUACACAAUUCAGAAGCAGCCAACCAGAUUUUUGUUGAGCUCUUCGAAGGCUAUUAUUGGUGUCCCUAGGGUUUCCUUGAGGUGCAGAUAGUAAGUUGGCUCUAACAAUACUCGUCAGAGCCAAAGCAAGUGAUGGCUUCCCUUGCUGUUCCCUUCCCAUCCCCAUUCCCUUGGCAUGGGCUCAAGCACGAAGAAGGUAUGAAGCCACUGAGAAGGAGAAGAGGUGACAGGAAUUCAAAUGGCAAACAAUCCAGCAUUAGCUGCUGUGGGGAGGUGCCUCAGAGAGCUACCGCGAAUUUCAGUUUGGAGUGCCUGGAUGAUACCUCCUUCCUCAUGUGGCCUAGCAAGGCUACAGGUAAUACCUACUGAAAGUUUUCACCCCAGGGUGCCCUGCUCGGCUGCACCCCACUCUGCCCACCAGCUCACAGGGUGCUGCCUGGGCCAAGCACCCUCUCCUGCUGCGAAGGACCCUUUGCUUCUCAUGUCAGCAGGUAUCCAACACUUCAACAGCCUCCUUUGCCCUGGAGACACCCAAAUUGCCAAAGACCAAUAGAGGUUGUAGUGUGAUUCAAACCGACUCUUUUUGGAAACAUUGCACUGUUACAAAACAGAGCAAGAAACUUGUUUUCUAGGAAAAAGAAUUCUCGUUAGAUGAAAACUACAUGGAAAUAGCUAUGAAAAACACAUCAGAACUGUACUGCAGGGCUUUAGUGGCAUUUUUCUCAUACUCAUUAUUGAAAUUAAUUCACAAAACUUGCCACAAUAUGCUGAUAGGUUGUAGCUGUAAUACUUUAAGCUGUUGUUAGGAAUUCAAAACAUGACAAUCAAAACAGUUUUCUUCACAUACGAUUAGAACAUUUAUUUGCUUGUUCGAUGCAAAA